GACGAACGCUGGCGGCGUGCUUAACACAUGCAAGUCGAACGGAAAGGCCCUUCUUGCAGGGUACUCGAGUGGCGAACGGGUGAGUAACACGUGGGUGAUCUGCCCUGCACUUCGGGAUAAGCUUGGGAAACUGGGUCUAAUACCGGAUAGGAACCAUCUUUAGUGUGGUGGUUGGAAAGUUUUUUCGGUGUAGGAUGAGCUCGCGGCCUAUCAGCUUGUUGGUGGGGUAAUGGCCUACCAAGGCGGCGACGGGUAGCCGGCCUGAGAGGGUGUACGGCCACAUUGGGACUGAGAUACGGCCCAGACUCCUAUGGGAGGCAGCAGUGGGGAAUAUUGGACAAUGGGCGCAAGCCUGAUGCAGCGACGCCGCGUGGGGGAUGAAGGCCUUCGGGUUGUAAACUCCUUUCGCUAGGGACGAAGCUUUGUUGUGACGGUACCUAGAGAAGAAGCACCGGCUAACUACGUG
This 466-nucleotide ribosomal RNA is filed under the name uncultured bacterium. RNAcentral's name for it is "partial 16S ribosomal RNA". It matches the Rfam family "Bacterial small subunit ribosomal RNA", at positions 28 to 507 of the family's 1533-position model. The record is from RNAcentral.